This 294-nucleotide transfer-messenger RNA is filed under the name Acyrthosiphon pisum (pea aphid). RNAcentral describes it as "transfer-messenger RNA Buchn_aphid_ApiAPS". It matches the Rfam family "transfer-messenger RNA", at positions 1 to 299 of the family's 374-position model. Rfam says of the family: Bacterial tmRNA, also known as 10Sa RNA or SsrA, is named for its dual tRNA and mRNA-like properties. Its role is to liberate the mRNA from a stalled ribosome. Lineage: Eukaryota; Metazoa; Arthropoda; Insecta; Hemiptera; Aphididae. The record is from RNAcentral.
GGGGCUGUUUUUGGAUUUGACAAAAUUAUCAACAAAGUAAAGUGCAUGCCGAGGAACGGUUUGCCUCGAUAAAAGCCGUAAAAAAAUAAUUGCAAAUAAUAAACAAAACUACGCUUUAGCAGCUUAAAAAACUGAAUAAAGCCCUUCCUUCUUAUCCUCCUUCUCUUAGGAUGAGAAAACAGGAAGGUCAGAAAAAGAGAAAAACGUGGAUAUCAAGCUUGACGAUAACACGAAGUAGUUUUUUCAAGCUAUAUACCUAAUAUGUGUUUUUCCAAAUUAGGUAAUGAAUUCAAU